GUGCCAGCAGCCGCGGUAAUACGUAGGCAGCGAGCGUUGUUCGGAGUUACUGGGCGUAAAGGGUGUGUAGGCGGUUCUCUAAGUUUGGUGUGAAAUCUCCCGGCUCAACCGGGAGGGUGCGCCGAAAACUGGAGGGCUAGAGUGCGGGAAGGGAGAGUGGAAUUCCUGGUGUAGCGGUGAAAUGCGUAGAUAUCAGGAGGAACACCGGUGGUGCAGACGGCUCUCUGGACCGCGACUGACGCUGAGACACGAAAGCGUGGGUAGCAAACAGGAUUAGAUACCCCCGUAGUCC
RNAcentral lists this ribosomal RNA (292 nucleotides) under uncultured bacterium. RNAcentral describes it as "partial 16S ribosomal RNA". It matches the Rfam family "Bacterial small subunit ribosomal RNA", at positions 505 to 796 of the family's 1533-position model. The record is from RNAcentral.